UACGUAGGGGGCAAGCGUUGUCCGGAAUCACUGGGCGUAAAGCGCGCGCAGGCGGCGAUCUACGUCUGGGGUGAAAGCCCCGGAGCUCAACUCCGGGACUGCCUUGGAUACGGGAUCGCUUGAGGAUUGGAGAGGCAAGGGGAAUUCCACGUGUAGCGGUGAAAUGCGUAGAUAUGUGGAGGAACACCUGUGGCGAAGGCGCCUUGCUGGCCAAUUUCUGACGCUGAGGCGCGAAAGCGUGGGGAGCAAACAGG
This 254-nucleotide ribosomal RNA is filed under the name uncultured bacterium. RNAcentral's name for it is "partial 16S ribosomal RNA". It matches the Rfam family "Bacterial small subunit ribosomal RNA", at positions 524 to 776 of the family's 1533-position model. The record is from RNAcentral.